This is a long non-coding RNA of Maylandia zebra (zebra mbuna), 506 nucleotides long. RefSeq lists it as uncharacterized. Lineage: Eukaryota; Metazoa; Chordata; Actinopteri; Cichliformes; Cichlidae. The record is from RefSeq and is a predicted model, not a curated record.
AGAAAAAGCUCAAGAAGAAUGCAUUGCAGAUGACAUCACGUACAGUUAUGUUAAAAAAUCCAAACAGACAACCAAACAUAACAGAGAGUCUGAUACAGAUGCAGUUUAUUCAACAUUGAAAAUUGAAGAUGUCAUCAAAGACAAGAAAAACAGAUCAAAGACGAGAGAGACUGACACAGCUGUAGUCUAUUCGGCAGUGAGAACUGAGGACAUCGAUUAUGGACAAAUAGCUGUUACACCAAAAAGGAAAAGAGACUUUAAACCUGAGCCAGACGUCAUCUACUCUUUACUGAAGUAGUCCACCAGUCCAACCACUGACAUCCAGCUGCUGGUCUCUAACUGGUCCCACAGCACCUCAGACCAGAGGACAUCCACAUGUUCAAAAUAUUUUUAUAUGUUUGACAUCUUUUUCUUGUUCAUUUAGACACAUAUGAUUUAAAAAUCAAUUCUUGAAUUUCAACUUGAGUUUAAGCGUGUAUUUUCAUGCAAAUCAUGUUUUAUGUUCU